This 596-nucleotide ribosomal RNA is filed under the name Chaetothyriales sp. AR-2010. RNAcentral describes it as "eukaryotic LSU rRNA". The stretch from base 216 to 369 matches the Rfam family "5.8S ribosomal RNA". The record is from RNAcentral. Lineage: Eukaryota; Fungi; Ascomycota; Eurotiomycetes; Chaetothyriales.
GGAAGUAAAAGUCGUAACAAGGUCUCCGUUGGUGAACCAGCGGAGGGAUCAUUACUGAGUUUUACAACUCCCAAACCCAUUGUGAACCUUACCAUCGUUGCUUCGGCGGGAUCGCCCCGGUGCCUCUGCUGCCCGGAACCAGGCGCCCGCCGGAGGCCCUAAACUCUGGUUUAUAUUGUGACAUUUCUGAGUGGCGCAAGCAAAAAAUAAAUCAAAACUUUCAACAACGGAUCUCUUGGUUCUGGCAUCGAUGAAGAACGCAGCGAAAUGCGAUAAGUAAUGUGAAUUGCAGAAUUCAGUGAAUCAUCGAAUCUUUGAACGCACAUUGCGCCCGCUAGUAUUCUAGCGGGCAUGCCUGUUCGAGCGUCAUUUCAACCCUCAAGCCCCCUUGGGGCCUGGUGUUGGGGGACGGCUCCUUCUGGAGCCGCCGCCGAAAUGCAGUGGCGGUCUCGCUGUCUGCUUCCUCUGCGUAGUAGAAACACCUCGCACUGGGACGCGGCGCGGCCAUGCCGUAAAACGCAACCAUCUAUUCUGAAGGUUGACCUCGGAUCAGGUAGGAAUACCCGCUGAACUUAAGCAUAUCAAUAAGCGGAGGA